AUUGAACGCUGGCGGCAUGCCUUACACAUGCAAGUCGAACGGUAACAGGUUAAGCUGACGAGUGGCGAACGGGUGAGUAAUGUAUCGGAACGUGCCCAGUCGUGGGGGAUAACUGCUCGAAAGAGCAGCUAAUACCGCAUACGACCUGAGGGUGAAAGCGGGGGAUCGCAAGACCUCGCGCGAUUGGAGCGGCCGAUAUCAGAUUAGGUAGUUGGUGGGGUAAAGGCCUACCAAGCCUACGAUCUGUAGCUGGUCUGAGAGGACGACCAGCCCCACUGGGACUGAGACACGGCCCAGACUCCUACUGGAGGCAGCAGUGGGGAAUUUUGGCAAAUGGACGCAAGUCUGAUCCAGCCAUGCCGCGUGCGGGAAGAAGGCCUUCGGGUUGUAAACCGCUUUUGUCAGGGAAGAAAAGGUUCUGGUUAAUACCUGGGACUCAUGACGGUACCUGAAGAAUAAGCACCGGCUAACUACGUGCCAGCCGCCGCUGUAA
Molecule: ribosomal RNA, 493 nt
Filed under: uncultured bacterium
Lineage: Bacteria
Description: partial 16S ribosomal RNA
Rfam family: Bacterial small subunit ribosomal RNA
Source: RNAcentral